Molecule: ribosomal RNA, 505 nt
Filed under: uncultured bacterium
Lineage: Bacteria
Description: partial 16S ribosomal RNA
Rfam family: Bacterial small subunit ribosomal RNA
Source: RNAcentral
GACGAACGCUGGCGGCGUGCCUAAUACAUGCAAGUAGAACGCACAGUUUAUACCGUAGCUUGCUACACCAUAGACUGUGAGUUGCGAACGGGUGAGUAACGCGUAGGUAACCUGCCUGGUAGCGGGGGAUAACUAUUGGAAACGAUAGCUAAUACCGCAUAAUAUUAAUUAUUGCAUGAUAAUUAAUUGAAAGGUGCAAUUGCACCACUACCAGAUGGACCUGCGUUGUAUUAGCUAGUAGGUGAGGUAACGGCUCACCUAGGCGACGAUACAUAGCCGACCUGAGAGGGUGAUCGGCCACACUGGGACUGAGACACGGCCCAGACUCCUACGGGAGGCAGCAGUAGGGAAUCUUCGGCAAUAGACGAAAGUCUGACCGAGCAACGCCGCGUGAGUGAAGAAGGUUUUCGGAUCGUAAAGAUCUGUUGUAAGAGAAGAACGGGUGUGAGAGUGGAAAGUUCACACUGUGACGGUAUCUUACCAGAAAGGGACGGCUAACUACGUG